RNAcentral lists this ribosomal RNA (1493 nucleotides) under Lacticaseibacillus casei. RNAcentral's name for it is "bacterial SSU rRNA". It matches the Rfam family "Bacterial small subunit ribosomal RNA". Lineage: Bacteria; Bacillati; Bacillota; Bacilli; Lactobacillales; Lactobacillaceae. The record is from RNAcentral.
GAUGAACGCUGGCGGCGUGCCUAAUACAUGCAAGUCGAACGAGUUCUCGUUGAUGAUCGGUGCUUGCACCGAGAUUCAACAUGGAACGAGUGGCGGACGGGUGAGUAACACGUGGGUAACCUGCCCUUAAGUGGGGGAUAACAUUUGGAAACAGAUGCUAAUACCGCAUAGAUCCAAGAACCGCAUGGUUCUUGGCUGAAAGAUGGCGUAAGCUAUCGCUUUUGGAUGGACCCGCGGCGUAUUAGCUAGUUGGUGAGGUAAUGGCUCACCAAGGCGAUGAUACGUAGCCGAACUGAGAGGUUGAUCGGCCACAUUGGGACUGAGACACGGCCCAAACUCCUACGGGAGGCAGCAGUAGGGAAUCUUCCACAAUGGACGCAAGUCUGAUGGAGCAACGCCGCGUGAGUGAAGAAGGCUUUCGGGUCGUAAAACUCUGUUGUUGGAGAAGAAUGGUCGGCAGAGUAACUGUUGUCGGCGUGACGGUAUCCAACCAGAAAGCCACGGCUAACUACGUGCCAGCAGCCGCGGUAAUACGUAGGUGGCAAGCGUUAUCCGGAUUUAUUGGGCGUAAAGCGUGCGCAGGCGGUUUUUUAAGUCUGAUGUGAAAGCCCUCGGCUUAACCGAGGAAGCGCAUCGGAAACUGGGAAACUUGAGUGCAGAAGAGGACAGUGGAACUCCAUGUGUAGCGGUGAAAUGCGUAGAUAUAUGGAAGAACACCAGUGGCGAAAGGCGGCUGUCUGGUCUGUAACUGACGCUGAGGCUCGAAAGCAUGGGUAGCGAACAGGAUUAGAUACCCUGGUAGUCCAUGCCGUAAACGAUGAAUGCUAGGUGUUGGAGGGUUUCCGCCCUUCAGUGCCGCAGCUAACGCAUUAAGCAUUCCGCCUGGGGAGUACGACCGCAAGGUUGAAACUCAAAGGAAUUGACGGGGGCCCGCACAAGCGGUGGAGCAUGUGGUUUAAUUCGAAGCAACGCGAAGAACCUUACCAGGUCUUGACAUCUUUUGAUCACCUGAGAGAUCAGGUUUCCCCUUCGGGGGCAAAAUGACAGGUGGUGCAUGGUUGUCGUCAGCUCGUGUCGUGGGAUGUUGGGUUAAGUCCCGCAACGAGCGCAACCCUUAUGACUAGUUGCCAGCAUUUAGUUGGGCACUCUAGUAAGACUGCCGGUGACAAACCGGAGGAAGGUGGGGAUGACGUCAAAUCAUCAUGCCCCUUAUGACCUGGGCUACACACGUGCUACAAUGGAUGGUACAACGAGUUGCGAGACCGCGAGGUCAAGCUAAUCUCUUAAAGCCAUUCUCAGUUCGGACUGUAGGCUGCAACUCGCCUACACGAAGUCGGAAUCGCUAGUAAUCGCGGAUCAGCACGCCGCGGUGAAUACGUUCCCGGGCCUUGUACACACCGCCCGUCACACCAUGAGAGUUUGUAACACCCGAAGCCGGUGGCGUAACCCUUUUAGGGAGCGAGCCGUCUAAGGUGGGACAAAUGAUUAGGGUG